This is a long non-coding RNA of Eubalaena glacialis (North Atlantic right whale), 331 nucleotides long. RefSeq lists it as uncharacterized. The record is from RefSeq and is a predicted model, not a curated record. The transcript has 3 exons. NCBI's taxonomy places the organism in Eukaryota, Metazoa, Chordata, Mammalia, Artiodactyla, Balaenidae.
GACCAGCCAUUUCAGCAGGAAGAGAUGUGCUGAGCAAAGAAUGGAUUUUUAGAAGUCAGCCUGGGGAAGAAUGAAAGCACGGGGCUCAUUAGGAGUUCACCCGCAUUAUACCAACACUUUCCACCUUUGGCUUACUGAAGAGUAAGAAUGAACUGAAAGGAACAAGAACUAUGGCUUGUCCUAUCUUUUCCUUUCUAUGACAUCAUUUUCAGCAUAAAUGGUUGGCUAACACAGGGAAGUAAAGUGGGAUCUAAUCCAGGAUACCACAUUGCAUGUAGUCAGCGUGCCUUCUUCGUAUUCUCCAGACUGUGACUGUUUCUCAGUCUUUUCC